This 653-nucleotide ribosomal RNA is filed under the name Thryssa dussumieri (Dussumier's thryssa). RNAcentral describes it as "partial 12S ribosomal RNA". It matches the Rfam family "Bacterial small subunit ribosomal RNA", at positions 556 to 1507 of the family's 1533-position model. The record is from RNAcentral. Lineage: Eukaryota; Metazoa; Chordata; Actinopteri; Clupeiformes; Engraulidae.
CGGCGUAAAGAGUGGUUAUGGAACCCCUACACUAAAGCCGAAAACCCCCUAGACUGUCAUACGCACCCGGGAGUUAGAACCCCACUACACGAAAGUAGCUUUAUUAAUGCCCACCAGAACCCACGACAGCUGAGACACAAACUGGGAUUAGAUACCCCACUAUGCCCAGCCGUAAACAUAGAUACUCUUACACAACCCGUAUCCGCCAGGGGACUACGAGCACUAGCUUAAAACCCAAAGGACUUGGCGGUGCCUCAGACCCCCCUAGAGGAGCCUGUUCUAGAACCGAUAACCCCCGUUCAACCUCACCACUUCUUGCCCUUUCCGCCUAUAUACCACCGUCGCCAGCUUACCCUCUGAAGGAAAAAAAGUAAGCAGAAUGGAAACUCUCCAAAACGUCAGGUCGAGGUGUAGCAUACGAAGUGGGAAGAAAUGGGCUACAUUGCCUGACACAGGCCACAUCACAGAAAGUCACCUGAAAUAGUAACUCGAAGGUGGAUUUAGCAGUAAGAGGGGAAUAGAGUGCCCCGUUGAAGCUGGCUCUGAGGCGCGCACACACCGCCCGUCACUCUCCCCAAAACUCCAACCACCAAAGUAAAUAACAUCACAAUAACACAAAAGGGGAGGUAAGUCGUAACAAGGUAAGUGUACCG